RNAcentral lists this ribosomal RNA (497 nucleotides) under uncultured bacterium. RNAcentral's name for it is "partial 16S ribosomal RNA". It matches the Rfam family "Bacterial small subunit ribosomal RNA", at positions 28 to 507 of the family's 1533-position model. The record is from RNAcentral.
GAUGAACGCUGGCGGCGUGCCUAAUACAUGCAAGUCGAGCGAACAGACGAGGAGCUUGCUCCUCUGACGUUAGCGGCGGACGGGUGAGUAACACGUGGAUAACCUACCUAUAAGACUGGGAUAACUUCGGGAAACCGGAGCUAAUACCGGAUAAUAUAUUGAACCGCAUGGUUCAAUAGUGAAAGACGGUUUUGCGGUCACUUAUCGAUGUAUCCGCGCCGCAUUAGCGGGUUGGUAAGGUAACGGCUUACCAAGGCAACGAUGCGUAGCCGACCUGAGAGGGGGAUCGGCCACACUGGAACUGAGACCCGGUCCAGACUCCAACGGGAGGCAGCAGUAGGGAAUCUUCCGCAAUGGGCGAAAGCCUGACGGAGCAACGCCGCGUGAGUGAUGAAGGUCUUCGGAUCGUAAAACUCUGUUAUUAGGUAAGAACAAAUGUGUAAGUAACUAUGCACGUCGUGACGGUACCUAAUCAGAAAGCCACGGCUAACUACGUG